GUAUGAUCCUAGAGAAUACAAAUAUUCAAGGAGUAGAGUCCUUUUUUUUUUUUUCUUUUAGCACAGCUAAUUGUGAUUUUCUUCCAAAAUACGGAUUGAGGCUACAGACCCAUUAAUUAAAAACACUGUGAAGUCCUGAGUGUGUGUCUGCUUUAGUGUUUCAGUUCAGAUCGGGAGCUCGCUUUGGAAGUAAAUUGUUUUGCAUUAUGGUGUCAUCGUAAGAGUACUUGAAUUAGUGCCCUUUUGGAGGAAAUUUAUCUGUAAUAUGUGCUCCCCUAAUCCAUUUUAGUCACUACUGGGCAAUCAAUCCCUAAGGCCAGACUAUGGAUAGCAUGAACUGGAAAAGAAGAAAAAAGAAUCCAACCAUGAGAUAUACGUACUGUGAAUGUCAAGUCCUCAGCAAAAAUUCUUGUGGCCCAUGGCUUUGCUCUUCUUAGUCCACACUACUUAACAAUGCAGAUACAGUCCUAGAAAAUCCACAGAUGGUCCUCAAUUAAUUUGAAGGCUUCAUAGCUAAGCAAUUCCAGCAUAAACAACAAAGAAACAGUAGGAAAUUAAAUGAGUGAUAGACCAGAUGAUGUCUGGCCCUUCAUGAUAGGACAAGGGGUAAUGGCUUUAAACUUAAUGAGGGGGAAUGUAGAUUAGACAUUAGGAAGAAAUUCUUCCCUCAGAGGGUGCUGAGGCCCUGGCCCAGGCUGCCCAGAGAAGCUGUGGAUGUCCCAUCCCUGGAGGUGUUCAAGGCCAGACUGGAUGCUGCUGUAGUUUGCAUUUCUUUUUCUUGCCAAUGUAUGCAGGAAAUCACUUAACGUGAAGGCAUUCAUCCUUUGGAGCACAAUCCUGCCCACCUGUGGCACCAGUGUCCCAGCCCCAUCGGUGGCUCAUCCUCAAGGCCAGAGGCCCACCGAGCCCCACACAAGCAUGGGUCCCUGUGUCUCCUGUCCUCCCACACCCUGCAUCUCCGCUACCCCUUCAGACAACUGUAAUUAAAUCCAUCAUUCGUCAGAGCUGCCUGAGCCCCAUGCUCUCACCUGAGUGUACACACUUGGCUUUUCUUCUGGUGACAAAGAAGUCAAUUCAAAUCAACUGAGGCUGAUUCUUUUGAGAGGGAAAGAAGAGAAAGCGAGCGAGACGGGCCGGCACACGUCUGAUCCUCCCGAAGCUGCUGCGUAGGUGGUGAGGGCCGAGCAGCGUGCCCUGCUCUGAGCUGCCUCGGUGAAGUGGCGAUGAAAAAGUGGGCACGAUCCCCACCACCUCGCUGCCCACCAUGAUUAGAGAUCCUCCAGAAGUGAGCUGGGAGGUCGCUUUGUUCAAGUGUUGGCAAGACCUCUGAGUUUCCAGCGGCAGAUUGUGAAAGGUUUCUUGGUUUAUUUCUUGGGGCUUUCUGUAAAAUGACUGAAUGCAAGCUGCUUUCUCUUUCUCCCUCUUUCUGACACAUGCAUGCAGGUGCUAACACCCCACCUUAUGUCAACCACCAUCUCAAUAAUAAGAGAAUCACUUUAUCCUUGAUUUUAUACCUAUAAGCAACUCAGCUCCAGUCGGUAUGAAUAAUUAAAAGGAAGCUCAUGGUGGUGCUGCAAAUCAGAAUAAAAUGUGAUGUCUUAUAUAUUUCUUGUUGAAG
Long non-coding RNA from Anser brachyrhynchus (Pink-footed goose), 1618 nucleotides. The record is from Ensembl. NCBI's taxonomy places the organism in Eukaryota, Metazoa, Chordata, Aves, Anseriformes, Anatidae.